RNAcentral lists this ribosomal RNA (426 nucleotides) under uncultured bacterium. RNAcentral's name for it is "bacterial SSU rRNA". It matches the Rfam family "Bacterial small subunit ribosomal RNA", at positions 355 to 774 of the family's 1533-position model. The record is from RNAcentral.
UGGGGAAUAUUGGACAAUGGGGGGAACCCUGAUCCAGCAAUGCCGCGUGUGUGAAGAAGGCCUGAGGGUUGUAAAGCACUUUCAGUGGGGAGGAGGCUUGUUAGGUUAAGAGCUAAAUAAGUGGACGUUACCCACAGAAGAAGCACCGGCUAACUCCGUGCCAGCAGCCGCGGUAAUACGGAGGGUGCAAGCGUUAAUCGGAAUUACUGGGCGUAAAGAGUGCGUAGGUGGUUUGGUAAGUUAUCUGUGAAAUCCCUGGCUCAACCUGGGCAGGUCAGAUAAUACUGCUGAACUCGAGUAUGGGAGAGGGUAGUGUAAGUUCCGGUGUUGCGGUGAAGUGCGUAGAGAUCGGAAGGAACACCAGUGGCGAAGGCGGCUACCUGGCCUAAUACUGACACUGAGGCACGAAAGCGUGGGGAGCAAACA